RNAcentral lists this ribosomal RNA (39 nucleotides) under uncultured Thelephoraceae. RNAcentral describes it as "partial 28S ribosomal RNA". The record is from RNAcentral. Lineage: Eukaryota; Fungi; Basidiomycota; Agaricomycetes; Thelephorales; Thelephoraceae.
UUCGAUCUCAAAUCAGGUAGGAUUACCCGCUGAACUUAA